Molecule: long non-coding RNA, 3939 nt
Filed under: Triticum aestivum (bread wheat)
Lineage: Eukaryota; Viridiplantae; Streptophyta; Magnoliopsida; Poales; Poaceae
Description: long non-coding RNA (TAES_LNC009822)
Source: RNAcentral
UCAGAUCUAAUGCACAAAACACAAUAACAUAGAACUCUUUAUUGUGCAUUACAAAUGAUAGGUGGCACUUGGAUGCCCUUCUAUGCUUAAGAUUAAUCAUCUCAUGAAAGCAUGUCUAUUGUUAUUAUCCAUUAAUUAAAUAUGACACAUAUUGGAUUUCGUUCCCUUAUUCCAAGAUUCUACAAUCAGAAUUCCCUAGCAAAUUUUUACACAUGAAAUUAGGCACUUGAAACCGUACAGAUUACUACAUGUACCUCCUACCAUUUAGAAACCAUGGAAACACAAAAUAUUUCAACACUUUCCCAUCUACUAUUCAUAGCUUGGACAAGCCCCAUCUACUUUUCUUGGCUCAAAAGGACUGAGGCCCCUCCAACUGCACUCAACUUCUAGGAUAUCUCUUCUUUGAAGGCCAUGAAAACAAUCAUUCGGUAAGAUCAUUUGUGAUUAUAAAUGGCAUUUAUAAUUACUUGAUAUUCUCAUAUACAGUAUCUAAAUAGUAAAAUUUAUAAAUGCAAUACAUUAAAAGAACUAAUGCUACUGGUAUCCAUAGCUAGAAUACAUAAAUACAAAUAAUUAGAGGCAUGAAACUCUAACAUUAGAUAGACCCGUGUAAAUUGCAUACAUGUAACCCUUAUAAACUUGGCGUCUAAUUUUUUUUGCAGUAGGCUUUUAACCUAUUCAACAAGUCAAACACUCGGAAUGAAAUUAUGUCUUGGUUCUCGCUUCACCUAUUCAGCAAGCUACCAUCGACCUUAUUGCAGUCCAUAUGAAGAAGAGACGAACAUCAUAUUCUGCUGAAAAACAACAAUGUGAAGUUUAUGGAUAUCAUUGCCAUUAAUGUCACUAAAUUUAUUGAUCCAUAAAAACCAUGAGUAAGUGCAAAAGAAAACGAAUUUGGGUUGAGGGGAAUAAGGAAGGAUCAAACGAAAGAAUGAAUGGAUCACGCACAUACUGUUCAUAAGUUCUUCUCUGGAUGGAAAUGGAACCCAAUACAUGCCGCUGCAGCAUCCUUCUUGUCCGCUCCGAGGAACCCCAUUUGACCAUUUCCUCCGGUACCGCCCACGACAUCUUCUAUAACAUGUCCUCUUCCACCACUGACAUCUUCUCCGCCAUCUCAUUCACGAAGCCCUGUCCACCAUGUUUCACUUCAUAUUACAUUACUCUCAUGUAUCACACAUACUACAACUCAACCAUGCAUAUAAGUGAAAUAUAGGAAUGGAUCUCUAGUACAACAAUAUAUGCACACUUUUUCCAGAGUGACUUCUAUGCUUGCUACUACUAUCUUCUACACAUAGACCAAGGUACUCUAAAGUGAAUAAGUGAUAUUUCCAGAUUAAAAGUUUGGCGUUGCUAAUUUCAGUAUCUACAUAAAACAAACUUUAAUAGAAAAACAUCAAGUCUGUUUAGAUAUCUCUACCUAAUAUUAAAAGGAUGAUCGUUUCUAAAAGACAUGCAUGGCCAUUGCUAAAUAUGGGUUUACUGGGUAUUACUACCAUUCUAGCAUCUGUCUAGGAUAAUUAUUACAAAGUCCAAACUACCAAGGACAAGGAGUUAUAGCACUGUCUCAAGAUUCUAACUUCUGCCCCUGUCGCAAGAUUCCGCCAUACUGUUUUACCUAUGUUUAUUCAGAUUGCAUAUUCAAAAAAUAACUAUACCAGUGAGCCUCAUAGGUUAAACCGAGCUUGCACACGCACGCAGAAAAUCAAUCUAACUUCUCCCUUCUAACCCCGAACUGUCAAUAAGAAGCACAGCUACAAUGGUUAGUUGAAUGUUUGUGUGUUGCCAAUGGACUAACGGAAAAUAGUGAUUAAACAAUCGUUUAAAUUCAGAAAUGUCGAUCAUGUUGACAUAUGGUUUGCAUUCAUAUAGAGACAAACUAAUAUUCUCUCCUCUCCUCCUUGACAGCUGUCAUGUCGCCUUAACCACCAUCUCAAGCAACAAGGCCUAAUUGGGGCUUUAUAUACGGAUGAAAUAACCACUUUGGGUGCUCCAGUAAUGAAAUAACCAGCAAUUAAAAUAUAAACCUAACAUCCCUAGGACAGUCUUCUGAAAUAUAAAAACCGAAGACCAAGUAAACUUUGCAGCAGUCACUACUUAUUACACGUUUAUAUAAAAAUCGAUUGACUAUCAAUAUUCAUCAAACAAAUAAAUCUGAUAUAUCAUACGACAAAUGACCUACUAAGUACAAGUUUCUAAAAGGGAGAUGUAUGAAGUGGUUAGACUCUCCAGGAACCUUAGAAACUUGAAGGCACAUAUUACCAUAUCCAAAUUUCGAGCUAGUUGUCUAAGAAAUUAAGUAGACAAUGUAAGAAGAUAGAGAAAAUGUUAUACCACACCAAAAGCUACAUGCAGCAUAGUGCAACAAUGUUUGGAAUAAUUUGGCUUGAUGCAUACUUGAGAUCUAGCCGGUGUACUCUAAUUAGAACAAGCAGAAAAAAGGGAUCAGCACAAGGUCCAUUAACAAAAAACAGUUAGCAGAGAAACAACUCGGUGAAUCAUUAACUUACAAUCUUGCUUUUUGAAUGUGCAACCCAUAACCAGAGAAGCCUCUCGGCAUUUGAGGGCUUGGGUAUUCUCACAACAUAGAGCAACUAUAGCUGCGCCUCACUCCAAAAGGGGCCAUCUUCACUACAAAUAGAGCAAUAAGUAUCUCACUCCAGUUGAUGAGUUAGUCUCUUUAAUUACACCCUUGUAUGUGGUAGUGUUGUUACUCUGCAACUAAUAAAGUCUCUCUACGUGAACUAUUUUUUUGCCUGGUAUCCAAACAAAGCAUUUUUAUUUCGCCACUGUAUUGGGCUACUAUUCACUCAUAGGAUUCUGCGAUAGGAUGCCUUAUUCUUCAUUUUAUUAUUGCUCGCUAGAUUAUUUUUAGUUCAAUAGUUGUCAUACGACAAACCAUUAAAUUUGAAGAAACCCGGGUAAGUCUAAUCGACAUCAACUCUAUAUUGCUUCUACUAAUAAAAAGCACUCUAUCUCUAUGUACUCCCGAAUAGUUGUUUUCUUGUAAACAAUUCAACAACACACAAGGAUCUUUUCCUAAAACAUCACCUAAUGACAAAAGGAUGCAUUCAGAGAACUAUAAUUUAUUCGAUCAUCAUCAUGCUUGUGCAAAGAACACUAUGCUUGCACAUAAUAAGCAUAAAGAAAAUCAUAGUCAUCCACACUCCCAAGAGUAAGCAGGUAGUACAUUAGUGCAAACAAUUUACUCAUCAUAAAAUAGCUAGAUUGGCCAUGAAUACCAACAUAGUAGCCAUGCUUUAGGUAGAGCAAAUAAUUUCUCCAGAGAGUAGCAAGAGUGCAAAAAUGAAGCACAUGAACAAUUUCAAAAUGCAUUAGAAUCUGCAAAGGGAGAAGGAUGCGACCUAAAUAGUCAGAUCAUAUUGCAGAAGCAAAAACUUUGGACGAAGAGUGGACAUGUAGUUACUCAUGAUUCAAAUAUAUCUAUAUUUAUGUGAAACAUAAUGCCUACAAUAACUAAGUAGAUGGACAACCGCUACACACAAUUCAGAUUUAUUCUAGUGCCUGAUAAAUGUCAGGGCCACGCCAUGCAGAAACCCGAAGGAUAUUAAUCCAAACCAGCUCUUUCAUGGAAUCCCCUACCCAGACAAAGCUCCAACACACACGUGAAAAUGCCUAUAUAUAAGUAGGGGUUCACGCACCUGUACCCUUGAGCCUGUGUGUCUUCCAUGACCUUGGCUCAAUAAAUUGAUAUAAAAUAAUGCCUUGAUAUCCAAUCUUGAGUAUCAAAAUAUUUUAUUUGUGAAAGAGGAAAAAGGUAUUGUCUACCUCCCAGCUGGCUGCCCAAUUGGAUGAGCAUGUGUGUUGCAAAAAGUGAGUUCGUAUUGGCAUUCCUUGGAGAACCCAAUCUGCUUGAUACUCAUCAGGCCUGAAACUAUUAUGCCAAAAAAAAGCAAGUAUGAGAUUUAGGAUUCAGAGUAC